UAUUUUGAGAGACAGACAGUGCAAGUCGGGAAGGGGCAGGGAGAGAGGAGCGAGGAUCCUAAGCAGGCUCUACACCGGCAGAGCAGAGCCCAACUCCAGACGGGGGCUUGAGCUCUCAAAAUUGCAAAGUCUGGGCCUGAGCUGAAACCAAGAGUCAGAUGCUUAACCAACUGAGCCGCCCAGGCACCCCUCACUGCUGACUUUAUAUGUGAGCCAUCCUUGCUUCUCUUCUUCCAAAGUAUCUUCUCUCGAGCUUCACUUUGAAGACCACCCAGAAACUCCAUCUGGUCCAAAUAGAACCACCACCCUGCUUCUUCCCAAGAACAUAGCAGAAUCAGAAACAAGAUCUAAGAACAG
This 357-nucleotide long non-coding RNA is filed under the name Felis catus (domestic cat). RNAcentral describes it as "lncRNA (ENSFCAG00000046018.2)". The record is from RNAcentral. Lineage: Eukaryota; Metazoa; Chordata; Mammalia; Carnivora; Felidae.